GCACUUCUAGCUCAAUUGGUAGAGCAGCGGUCUCCAAAGCCGCCGGUUCCAGGUUCAAGUCCUGGGGAGUGUGC
Molecule: transfer RNA, 74 nt
Filed under: Mycobacterium phage Jabith
Lineage: Duplodnaviria; Heunggongvirae; Uroviricota; Caudoviricetes
Also listed under: 6 other names
Description: tRNA-Trp
Rfam family: tRNA
About the family: Transfer RNA (tRNA) molecules are approximately 80 nucleotides in length. Their secondary structure includes four short double-helical elements and three loops (D, anti-codon, and T loops). Further hydrogen bonds mediate the characteristic L-shaped molecular structure. tRNAs have two regions of fundamental functional importance: the anti-codon, which is responsible for specific mRNA codon recognition, and the 3' end, to which the tRNAs corresponding amino acid is attached (by aminoacyl-tRNA synthetases). tRNAs cope with the degeneracy of the genetic code in two manners: having more than one tRNA (with a specific anti-codon) for a particular amino acid; and 'wobble' base-pairing, i.e. permitting non-standard base-pairing at the 3rd anti-codon position.
Source: RNAcentral